This is a small nuclear RNA of Xenopus tropicalis (tropical clawed frog), 214 nucleotides long. Its record names the gene U2. It matches the Rfam family "U2 spliceosomal RNA". From Rfam's summary of the family: U2 is a small nuclear RNA (snRNA) component of the spliceosome (involved in pre-mRNA splicing). Complementary binding between U2 snRNA (in an area lying towards the 5' end but 3' to hairpin I) and the branchpoint sequence (BPS) of the intron results the bulging out of an unpaired adenosine, on the BPS, which initiates a nucleophilic attack at the intronic 5' splice site, thus starting the first of two transesterification reactions that mediate splicing. The record is from Ensembl. NCBI's taxonomy places the organism in Eukaryota, Metazoa, Chordata, Amphibia, Anura, Pipidae.
AUCGCUUCUUGGCCUUUUGGCUAAGAUCAAGUGUAGGAGCCUUACAGCUGGAGCCUUACAAAGGCAAUAAAUGGCACUGCACCCGCACACUUGAGCACUUUUUUUGUGUUUUAUUUGUGCACACUGGAUGGGUGUCAUAGUCCUUUGGGCUUGACCCAGGCCAAUAUUUACACGGACUUCCCCUAGCUGCAAGGUGAAGGGAAGUCCAACCACC